GUCUGCCGGGCAGCCGCGCGGGGGUGACCCCGUGAGGAAAGUCCGGGCUUCACAGAGCAGGAUAACCGAUAACAUCGGCCGCGGGCGACCGCCGGACAAGUGCAACAGAAAUAGACUACCCCGGUUUCCGGGGAAAAGGUGGAAAGGUGGGGUAAGAGCCCACCGGUGUCCCGGGUGACCGGGGCAUCCUGUAAACUCUAUCCGAAGCAACACCGACCUGGGGGCUACGGCUUGCUCGGCCAAUCUCCAAACAGGUGGCAAAGAGACGGGCAGCAAUGUCCGCCCAAGAUAGAUGGCUGCCGACCACAGAACCCGGCUUACAGGCGGACU
Molecule: RNase P RNA, 330 nt
Filed under: human gut metagenome
Description: Bacterial RNase P class A
Rfam family: Bacterial RNase P class A
About the family: Ribonuclease P (RNase P) is a ubiquitous endoribonuclease, found in archaea, bacteria and eukarya as well as chloroplasts and mitochondria. Its best characterised activity is the generation of mature 5'-ends of tRNAs by cleaving the 5'-leader elements of precursor-tRNAs.
Source: RNAcentral